Molecule: ribosomal RNA, 449 nt
Filed under: uncultured bacterium
Lineage: Bacteria
Description: partial 16S ribosomal RNA
Rfam family: Bacterial small subunit ribosomal RNA
Source: RNAcentral
AACGAACGCUGGCGGCAGGCUUAACACAUGCAAGUCGAACGGGCCCUUCGGGGUCAGUGGCAGACGGGUGAGUAACGCGUGGGAACGUGCCCUUCAGUUCGGGAUAACCCAGGGAAACUUGGGCUAAUACCGGAUACGUGCGAGAGCAGAAAGAUUUAUCGCUGAAGGAUCGGCCCGCGUCUGAUUAGCUGGUUGGUGGGGUAAUGGCCCACCAAGGCGACGAUCAGUAGCUGGUCUGAGAGGAUGAUCAGCCACAUUGGGACUGAGACACGGCCCAAACUCCUACGGGAGGCAGCAGUGGGGAAUAUUGGACAAUGGGCGCAAGCCUGAUCCAGCCAUGCCGCGUGAGUGAUGACGGCCUUAGGGUUGUAAAGCUCUUUCGCACGCGACGAUAAUGACGGUAGCGUGAGAAGAAGCCCCGGCUAACUUCGUGCCAGCCGCCGCGGUAA